UCGCUGGUAAGCGCGAUGUGUACAGGCAAUUCCGGUGUGAAUCCGGAGCGGUUGCGCCACUGUGAUCGGACCUCAGCGGUUCCGAGAGCCAGAAAACUGACACAUCGCUUCGGUUCGAA
This 119-nucleotide non-coding RNA is filed under the name Rhodococcoides fascians. Lineage: Bacteria; Bacillati; Actinomycetota; Actinomycetes; Mycobacteriales; Nocardiaceae. The record is from RNAcentral.